AUUUUACAUGAAUAAACUCAAAUUCCUUUUGCAUACAACUAACAAACGCAAAUCUUAAAACGUAUUCUAUUUAUAAUGUGUAAGCUACUGAGUUUUAAGUGAAACAUUUUAAAAUGUUGACCAGAAGAGAAAAAUCCUAAGAACCAGACCAUAAACAGUAUACAGACACAUCAAGGUGUGAAAUUAUAUCAUCACUUUUAAAUGCAUAAAACUCACAGAGUAAAAACUGAAAUUCUGAUGCUUCUUUAGCAAGAAUGAAACACAGCCUCAAAAACCAAUAUAAAAACUAACCUUUUGAAAUGUCCUUUAGGUCUUAUUUCAAACUGUUUUUUCAACUAUUUACAGAACCACAUUUAGUAAGUGUCUUCUUUUUUUCGAUCUUUUACUAUAAACUAUUUCAGUCAAACAUAAAGAUACAGGGAUCUAUACCAAAGAAGACCUACAUAAGCUCCAACCAGCCAAAGAAUAAAAG
Molecule: long non-coding RNA, 472 nt
Filed under: Bos taurus (domestic cattle)
Lineage: Eukaryota; Metazoa; Chordata; Mammalia; Artiodactyla; Bovidae
Description: long non-coding RNA NONBTAT015533
Source: RNAcentral